AGCAGGACAAUGGUGGAUGAUUUGGGGAACAGCUGAGUUAAAACAUGGGUUGAAAUUACUGUCGGUACUGCGUACCCACACCUUGAGUCGUGUCAGAAUGAUGGGCCUCACUGUUAAUUCCCUACAUUUGACUUAAAGAUGGACAAGGAGAGCUGCUGUUGAUCAUGUCUAUUUGACACGAUGAUAGACUGAAGAUUUUACAGCAGGUAGUGUCCUAUGCGGAACAUCUGUGUUAAGAGUCGUCAUGAACGCGAGCAUAUCGGAUCAGUGGCCCUUGAUGUUCUGAACAGUAAUAU
Chanos chanos (milkfish) is the source of this 296-nucleotide long non-coding RNA. RefSeq lists it as uncharacterized. The transcript is spliced from 5 exons. NCBI's taxonomy places the organism in Eukaryota, Metazoa, Chordata, Actinopteri, Gonorynchiformes, Chanidae. The record is from RefSeq and is a predicted model, not a curated record.